RNAcentral lists this ribosomal RNA (113 nucleotides) under Acanthosepion pharaonis. The record is from RNAcentral. Lineage: Eukaryota; Metazoa; Mollusca; Cephalopoda; Sepiida; Sepiidae.
UAUGGCCACAUCACAUUGAAAUACCUGCUCCCGUAUGAUCACCGAAGUUAAGCAACGUCGAGCUUGGUCAAUACCUAGAUGGGAGACCGCUUCGGAAUACCAGUUACUGUAAG